GAGUUUGAUCGUGGCUCAGGAUGAACGCCGGCGGUGUGCCUAAUACAUGCAAGUCGUACGCACUGGCCCAACUGAUUGAUGGUGCUUGCACCUGAUCGACGAUGGAUCACCAGUGAGUGGCGGACGGGUGAGUAACACGUAGGUAACCUGCCCUGUACGGGGGAUAACAAUCAGAAAUGACUGCUAAUACCGCAUAAGACCACAGCACCGCAUGGUGCAGGGGUAAAAACUCCGGUGGUACAGGAUGGACCCGCGUCUGAUUAGCUGGUUGGUGAGGUAACGGCUCACCAAGGCGACGAUCAGUAGCCGGCUUGAGAGAGUGAACGGCCACAUUGGGACUGAGACACGGCCCAAACUCCUACGGGAGGCAGCAGUGGGGAAUAUUGCACAAUGGGGAAACCCUGAUGCAGCAACGCCGCGUGAGUGAAGAAGUAUUUCGGUAUGUAAAGCUCUAUCAGC
This 459-nucleotide ribosomal RNA is filed under the name uncultured microorganism. RNAcentral describes it as "bacterial SSU rRNA". It matches the Rfam family "Bacterial small subunit ribosomal RNA", at positions 9 to 440 of the family's 1533-position model. The record is from RNAcentral.